Molecule: RNA transcript, 1749 nt
Organism: Lynx canadensis (Canada lynx)
Lineage: Eukaryota; Metazoa; Chordata; Mammalia; Carnivora; Felidae
Gene: CC2H21orf58
Gene name: chromosome C2 C21orf58 homolog
Exons: 7
Source: RefSeq, a predicted model, not a curated record
GUUGGCUCCCGACGCUGUAGUCCAGGGGAAUGGGGCCACCCUCUCACAUGCUCCAGCAGAGGCCAGUCUCCAGGAGGUAAACCGAGCCCAGCUCAGGAAUCCUUCAAAGACACCAGGGUUGGGGCUGCUUCUGUCCAGUUGAGCAGUUCUUUCUUCUAGAUACCCUGAAAACCAGGGAGGGAGGUGGGCCUGGUGGCGUCCCUCCUCUUACAGUCCAAGAAUGCUGGACUCCUCAGUGGCAGAUGCAAUGACCCGACUGACCCUAAAACUCUUAGAGAAGAAACUGGAGCAAGAGCGUGAGAAUGUGGAAGGGGAUUCUGAGGACCCUCACUUGUGCAGGAAACAGCACCUCCUGGAGGGAGGUGUCCCAGCCCGAGCCCGGAGCGGGGUGAACAGAGGAGGAGCCUGGGGAUCAGCACUGCCCCAGAGGUGGCCCAAGCGGGCAUCCGCCCUGCUGUCUCCCCACCCCCGCCAGCCCUGGAGCCACCACACGUUUAUCAAACACUCAGUCCCCCAGCCUCCUGCCACCAUUAUUCAACAACUACCUCAGCAGCCACUCAUCGCACAGAUUCCCCCUCUCCAGGCCUUCCCCCACUCAAAGGUCAGGAAGUAUUAAGGAAGACAUGGUGGAGAUGAUGCUGAUGCAGAAUGCACAGAUGCACCAGAUCAUUAUGCAAAACCUGAUGCUCAAAGCCCUGCCCUCUGGGGGAUCACAGGCCGCCCCUCUGCAUUCCACCCCACAGAGGCAGAAGCCGCCCUCCGUGCAUCACCACCACCACUAUGCACCCCCAGCCCGGCUGCAGGCCCUCCCCGGCGGGUUACUCCAUGUGGCCCCCAGUGGUCUCAGCCGCCAUCCCCCCACCUGCUUCCGGCUUCCUGCACCACGUGGCCGGCCCCUCCUUGGCAGCCCUUAGUGGGGUGGCAUCUGAUGGCAUCCUGCCCACACAGGCUCCGGGCCUGUGAAACUCCACGUGUGGGCUCGGUAAGCAGCAGGGUCCCAGUUCCCCAGCAGGUGUGGUCGGGGAGGCCCGGCAGAGGCCUGAAGCCUCGGCCCUGGAUGCUGGACUGCCAGGCACGAGGAAAUACAGGGAUUUCACCAGGAGGGAUGGCCCAGUAGCCGCAUAAACCGUUGAACCUUCCUGUGGAAGAAAUACCAGAAACAAGUCAAAUAUGAUGACUGGGAGGUCUGCCUGCCGCGAGCGGCCGAGGUGAGGGCUCCUGCCAGUCUCAAGAAGUGAAGGGACGGCAGUCGGGGAUCUCUCGUGGGAGAGUAUCUUUCCAUGCGGGUCUGCGUGGCUCCUUCUACAAGUCAAAACACAAGUUGAAUGUGGUUCCUCUCGAAGAUGGCUGAGGAAAGGGAGCUUUCUCUGCAUUUGUUCCUUUUGGUUCUGUCAGGGCUUCCGGUGUGAACGUCACCUUUAGUCUUUCUUCAUUUUCUGUGACUUUUUUUUCUUGGGGGAAUGAUGUUCCCUUGACAUGUUAAUAUAAUUUUCACAUGAAUGUCACAUUUAAAUGUUACAGCUGUUUUCAUCUACCCCUUUUGGGAAAACCUAUUUUCCCCAAGUUCUGCACCAGCGAGAGCCCUGCCUCCUUGGACCCUGCAGGCUCGUGGGAUGUUGGCCCGGGGAAGGGGAUCACCACGUGGCGGUCAGGAUGCCUCCAGGGCGGGAGGGCGGCAGGGGCCCCCACCACGUGCCUGGCACACGCAUCUCUUGUGAAAGGCAAUUAAAGGUCUGACUCCAUUGCUGA